This 658-nucleotide long non-coding RNA is filed under the name Olea europaea (common olive). RNAcentral's name for it is "long non-coding RNA (OEUR_LNC000975)". The record is from RNAcentral. Lineage: Eukaryota; Viridiplantae; Streptophyta; Magnoliopsida; Lamiales; Oleaceae.
CGUUACCUAUAAAAUUUCGAGAAUAUCAACAAUGGCAUAAGCUAUACAUUUGAGAGAUUAAAACAACUAAUGAAUCGUCAAACUAAUGUGUUUAUACCCUAAUCCCGUCUAUUUCCUUCAUCGAAAUCGAAUCAAUAUAUCCAAGGUCAUCUAGGAUUGGUUAACUGAGUUUUAACUGUUCUCACAUGAAACAAGAUCAUCAGGCACAUGUAUAAAUCUUAUGCACUUUCAAGAUCGUCAAAUAUGCUGUCAGUGCUUCCUCGUUGAACAAUACUGGAAACAGGAUUCCCACCUUGGUCAUUUUUUAUGAUUGUUGCCUAUAAAAUUUCGAGAAUAUCAACAAUGGCAUAAGCUAUACAUUUGAGAGAUUAAAACAACUAAUGAAUCUUCAAACUAAUGUGUUUAUAUCCUAAUCCCGUCUAUUUCCUUCAUCGAAAUCGAAUCAAUAUAUCCAAGGUCAUCUAGGAUUAGUUAACUGAGCUUUAACUGUUCUCACAUGAAACAAGAUCAUUAGGCACAUGUAUAAAUCUUAUGCACUUUCAAGAUCGUCAAAUAUACUGUCGGUGCUUCCUCGUAGAACAAUAGUGGAAACAGGAUUCCCACCUUGGUCAUUUUUUAUGAUUGUUCCCUAUAAAAUUUCGAGAAUAUCAACAAUGGC